UACAGAGGUGGCAAGCGUUGUUCGGAAUUACUGGGCGUAAAGGGCGCGUAGGCGGCCUUGUAAGUCCUGUGUGAAAUCCCCCGGCUCAACUGGGGAACUGCACAGGAGACUGCUUGGCUUGAGUUCGGGAGAGGGAAGCGGAAUUCCGGGUGUAGCGGUGAAAUGCGUAGAUAUGCGGAGGAACACCGAUGGCGAAGGCAAUCCCCUGGGCCUGCACUGACGCUCAUGCACGAAAGCGUGGGGAGCAAACAGG
RNAcentral lists this ribosomal RNA (253 nucleotides) under uncultured bacterium. RNAcentral describes it as "partial 16S ribosomal RNA". It matches the Rfam family "Bacterial small subunit ribosomal RNA", at positions 524 to 776 of the family's 1533-position model. The record is from RNAcentral.